AUUGAACGCUGGCGGCAUGCUUUACACAUGCAAGUCGAACGGUAACAGCACUUCGGUGGCUGACGAGUGGCGAACGGGUGAGUAAUACAUCGGAACGUGCCUAGUAGUGGGGGAUAACUACUCGAAAGAGUAGCUAAUACCGCAUGAGAUCUAAGGAUGAAAGCAGGGGACCUUCGGGCCUUGCGCUACUAGAGCGGCUGAUGGCAGAUUAGGUAGUUGGUGGGAUAAAAGCUUACCAAGCCGACGAUCUGUAGCUGGUCUGAGAGGACGACCAGCCACACUGGGACUGAGACACGGCCCAGACUCCUACGGGAGGCAGCAGUGGGGAAUUUUGGACAAUGGGCGCAAGCCUGAUCCAGCAAUGCCGCGUGCAGGAUGAAGGCCUUCGGGUUGUAGACUGCUUUUGUACGGAAAGAAAAGCCCUCUUCUAAUACAGGAGGGUCAUGACGGUACCGUAAGAAUAAGCACCGGCUAACUACGUG
RNAcentral lists this ribosomal RNA (482 nucleotides) under uncultured bacterium. Its description in RNAcentral is "partial 16S ribosomal RNA". It matches the Rfam family "Bacterial small subunit ribosomal RNA", at positions 30 to 507 of the family's 1533-position model. The record is from RNAcentral.